UUCCGGUUGAUCCUGCCGGAGGCUACUGCUAUUGGAGUUCGAUUAAGCCAUGCGAGUCUAAGGGAUCUUCGGAUCCCUGGCGUAAUGCUCAGUAACACGUGGAUAAUCUACCCUCAGGUGGGGCAUAAACCCGGGAAACUGGGGCCAAUUCCCCAUAGAUACAGAUAGCUGGAAUGCUUCUGUAUUCAAAGCUCCGGCGCCUGAGGAUGAGUCUGCGGCCUAUCAGGUUGUAGUCAGGGUCAUGACCUGACUAGCCAGCGACGGGUAUGGGGUGUGAGAGCACUUGCCCAGAGAUGGUUUCUGAGACACGAAACCAGGCCCUACGGGGCGCAGCAGGCGCGAAAACUUCGCAAUGCGGGAAACCGUGACGAGGGGAUUCCAAGUGUCUAUGCAUUGCAUAGACUGUUUUUUAGCCUAAAUAGCUAUUAGAGUAAGGGGUGGGCAAGACCGGUGCCAGCCGCCGCGGUAACACCGGCACCUCGAGUGGUAGCCACUAUUAUUGGGCCUAAAGCGUUCGUAGCCGGUUUGGUAAAUUCUUGGGUAAAUCGUACCGCUUAACGGUGCGGAUUCCGAGGACACUACCAGACUUGAGACCGGGGGAGAUCAGAGGUACUUGUGGGGGAGCGGUGAAAUGUUGUAAUCCUGCAGGGACCACCAGUGGCGAAGGCGUCUGAUCAGAACGGCUCUGACGGUGAGGAACGAAACCCUGGGGCGCAAACGGGAUUAGAUACCCCGGUAGUCCAGGGCGUAAACGCUGCUGACUUGGUGUUGGGGAUCCUACGAGGAUGUCCAGUGCUGGCGCGAAGGUAUUAAGUCAGCCGCCUGGGGAGUACGGUCGCAAGACUGAAACUUAAAGGAAUUGGCGGGGGAGCACUGCAACGUGUGGAGCGUGCGGUUUAAUUGGAAUCAACGCCGGA
RNAcentral lists this ribosomal RNA (917 nucleotides) under uncultured archaeon. RNAcentral's name for it is "bacterial SSU rRNA". It matches the Rfam family "Archaeal small subunit ribosomal RNA", at positions 1 to 922 of the family's 1478-position model. The record is from RNAcentral.